AUUGAACGCUGGCGGCAUGCCUUACACAUGCAAGUCGAACGGCAGCACGGGUGCUUGCACCUGGUGGCGAGUGGCGAACGGGUGAGUAAUACAUCGGAACGUACCUUAUCGUGGGGGAUAACGCAGCGAAAGCUGUGCUAAUACCGCAUACGCCCUGAGGGGGAAAGCGGGGGAUCGCAAGACCUCGCGCGAUUAGAGCGGCCGAUGCCUGAUUAGCUAGUUGGUGGGGUAAAAGCCCACCAAGGCGACGAUCAGUAGCUGGUCUGAGAGGACGAUCAGCCACACUGGGACUGAGACACGGCCCAGACUCCUACGGGAGGCAGCAGUGGGGAAUUUUGGACAAUGGGGGCAACCCUGAUCCAGCAAUGCCGCGUGAGUGAAGAAGGCCUUCGGGUUGUAAAGCUCUUUUGUCAGGGAAGAAACACCGGCUCUAACACAGUCCGGGAAUGACGGUACCUGAAGAAUAAGCACCGGCUAACUACGUGCCAGCCGCCGCCGUAA
This 501-nucleotide ribosomal RNA is filed under the name uncultured bacterium. RNAcentral's name for it is "partial 16S ribosomal RNA". It matches the Rfam family "Bacterial small subunit ribosomal RNA", at positions 29 to 523 of the family's 1533-position model. The record is from RNAcentral.